GAUUAGAUACCCUGGUAGUCCACGCCCUAAACGAUGCGAACUGGAUGUUGGUCUCAACUCGGAGAUCAGUGUCGAAGCUAACGCGUUAAGUUCGCCGCCUGGGGAGUACGGUCGCAAGACUGAAACUCAAAGGAAUUGACGGGGGCCCGCACAAGCGGUGGAGUAUGUGGUUUAAUUCGAUGCAACGCGAAGAACCUUACCUGGCCUUGACAUGUCUGGAAUCCUGCAGAGAUGCGGGAGUGCCUUCGGGAAUCAGAACACAGGUGCUGCAUGGCUGUCGUCAGCUCGUGUCGUGAGAUGUUGGGUUAAGUCCCGCAACGAGCGCAACCCUUGUCCUUAGUUGCCAGCGAGUAAUGUCGGGAACUCUAAGGAGACUGCCGGUGACAAACCGGAGGAAGGUGGGGAUGACGUCAAGUCCUCAUGGCCCUUACGGCCAGGGCUACACACGUACUACAAUGGUCGGUACAGAGGGUUGCAAUGCCGCGAGGUGGAGCCAAUCCCAGAAAGCCGAUCCCAGUCCGGAUCGAAGUUUGCAACUCGACUUCGUGAAGUCGGAAUCGCUAGUAAUCGCGGAUCAGCUAUGCCGCGGUGAAUACGUUCCCGGGCCUUGUACACACCGCCCGUCACACCAUGGGAGUGAGUUGCUCCAGA
Molecule: ribosomal RNA, 651 nt
Filed under: Rhodanobacter sp. S167
Lineage: Bacteria; Pseudomonadati; Pseudomonadota; Gammaproteobacteria; Lysobacterales; Rhodanobacteraceae
Description: bacterial SSU rRNA
Rfam family: Bacterial small subunit ribosomal RNA
Source: RNAcentral